Zea mays is the source of this 188-nucleotide non-coding RNA. NCBI's taxonomy places the organism in Eukaryota, Viridiplantae, Streptophyta, Magnoliopsida, Poales, Poaceae. The record is from Rfam.
AUAUCUUUCUCGGUCUUUUGGCUAAGAUAAAGUGUAAUAUUUGUUCGUAUCAGUUUAAUAUCUGGUAUAUGGACUAUAUGUUCACUUCGAUAUUAAAUUUAUUUUUUAUGUGUAUUUUUUUGUGGAGAGGUCCAGCACAUUGGCUUACUAGACUCUCGCCCAUUGCACUGUCGGUAGUCAUUAAAUAU